AUAGCGUAUAUUAAAGUUGUUGCAGUUAAAAAGCUCGUAGUUGAACUUCGAACGUGGCUGGGCGGUCCGCCUCACGGUGUGUACUGUCUGGCUGUGUUCUCUUUCUUGGUGAGCCGGCAUGCCCUUCACUGGGUGUGUUGGGGAACCAGGACGUUUACCUUGAGAAAAUUAGAGUGUUCAAAGCAGGCCUACGCCCGAAUACAUUAGCAUGGCAUAAUAAAAUAGGACGUGUGGUUCUAUUUUGUUGGUUUCUAGAGCCGCAGUAAUGAUUAAUAGGGAUAGUUGGGGGCAUUAGUAUUGCGUUGCUAGAGGCGAAAUUCUUGGAUUUACGCAAGACUAACUUCUG
This 346-nucleotide ribosomal RNA is filed under the name Sebacina incrustans. RNAcentral describes it as "SSU rRNA". It matches the Rfam family "Eukaryotic small subunit ribosomal RNA", at positions 594 to 945 of the family's 1831-position model. Lineage: Eukaryota; Fungi; Basidiomycota; Agaricomycetes; Sebacinales; Sebacinaceae. The record is from RNAcentral.